Molecule: ribosomal RNA, 292 nt
Filed under: uncultured bacterium
Lineage: Bacteria
Also listed under: 1 other name
Description: partial 16S ribosomal RNA
Source: RNAcentral
GGACUACUCGGGUAUCUAAUCCUGUUUGCUCCCCACGCUUUCGUGCCUGAGCGUCAAUCUCAGCCCAGGGGGCUGCCUUCGCCAUCGGUGUUCCUCCACAUCUCUACGCAUUUCACUGCUACACGUGGAAUUCCACCCCCCUCUGCCAGAUUCAAGUCUCCUAGUUUCCACUGCCAUUCCCAGGUUGAGCCCGGGGAUUUCACAACGGACUUGAAAGACCGCCUACGCACUCUUUACGCCCAGUAAUUCCGAUUAACGCUCGCACCCUACGUAUUACCGCGGCUGCUGGCAC